GUCUACGACCAACUCACCCAGAAUGUGCCCGAUCUCGUUAGAUCCUGUAAGCUAAUCAGGUUUGAGCCUGGAUAGUGCAAGGAUGGGUGACCACCAUGCAGAUAAGCCAGGUAUAAUAGCGG
RNAcentral lists this ribosomal RNA (122 nucleotides) under Petromyzon marinus (sea lamprey). The record is from RNAcentral. Lineage: Eukaryota; Metazoa; Chordata; Hyperoartia; Petromyzontiformes; Petromyzontidae.